This 2467-nucleotide unclassified non-coding RNA is filed under the name Drosophila yakuba. Its description in RNAcentral is "GE16817". The record is from RNAcentral. Lineage: Eukaryota; Metazoa; Arthropoda; Insecta; Diptera; Drosophilidae.
UAAUAUAUUUAAAAACCUUAUUGCUUAUCAGCAAACACAAUCGAUUUAAACAGUGACUAACGAUGGUAACGGUAACUGCGAACAGGUAGCAACUAUCGCCCAUCCCUGAUUCCCCUUGUCAAUGUCGCUGGCAAAUAAAUAAAUAAAUAUCAACAAAAUAGAGAAUGAGCGCGGAUGCGAGAAUCAAGGAGAUGGCGCCAUCGCUGGACACCAGCGAGCGGGAUGGUGAGAGGGAGCGAGAGCGGGAGAGCGGAUGCCAGGACGUGGAUGCCACCAACUCGAACACGGAACCCAGUGCCAGCGAUUGGGUGAAUUUCUCCCAGUGGAUGCACUGCUUCUGCGUGGUCACCUUCGAUCUUAAUCUGGGCCAGGCGCUGGAGCACGUCUAUCCGCCGCAGUUCAUGCCCAGCGACCAGGAGGUCAGCAACAUCUGCUACAUGGCCUUUCCGGACUCCAAUUCCGGCUGCAUGGGCGACACCAAGUUCCACAUGCGAUUGCGCUGCACAACGCGUCGUGAUUCCCUGCCAGGCUACAAUGCAGAGUGUUCGCCGGCACUGCGACAGGAUGGCUCCCACUACUGGGGCUUCGUGUACUUCCGGCAGAAGCGGGACGCGAAUCUGCCGCGUGGUUACUUCCAGAAGAGCUUCAUCAUCAUCACACGGCUGCCGUUCUUCAAUCUGUACUACGACAUACUCUCCCAGCUGGCGCCGCGCUACUUUGAGGACGGCACAGACGUCCUGCGGCUGGCCAGCGAGCAAAUCAAUCGCCAGUGGCCGGCCCUAAAGGUGGGCAAACCUCUCCAGCUGCCGCUGAUGGAGUGCAGCUAUCAGAUAUGCAUACCGCGGACCAGCAGCAGCAGUAGGAAGUCCACAGCAGCAGAAGGUGUCGGCAGCGCGGGCGAAACGCCACCGGCGAUGGCUGCUUGCCCAGCGGCCAAGGUGCUGGCCUCGGUUAACGAAAUCGAGCUCUUCCGCUCCCUGGACUUUGUCAUGGAGCAGCUGUACACGCUGUGGGAGCUGGUCAUCACCGCCGAGCCCAUCGUUGUCGUGGGCACCUCACCCGCCGACUGCUCCUACAUGGUGCAGACCCUCCUGGCGCUGAUCGCACCGCUCGAGUACUGCGCAGAGGCGCGUCCCUACUUCACCAUUCACGACAGCGAGUUCCGGGAGUUCACACAGGAGUGCAGCAGCAAGACAACACUACCCGCCUGCAUAUUGGGCGUGACCAAUCCGUUCUUUGUCAAGCUGCUCAAGGAUUGGCCGCACAUGCUGCGGCUGGUGGACAACCAGAAGAACAUGCAGCAGCAACAGCACUUGCUGCUGGGCCAAAAGCACGCAAGGAACAUUGCAUCGGCCACAUCCUUCUCCAGCGCAACGGAGAUCGGUGGCAGAUCGGUGAAACCCAGCGCGGCCCUGAACGGCAGCUCCAGCAAUGGCUCGGGCGAUGCCUCAUCGGCGGGACUGCACAGCAAGUACAGGCCGUACCUGAAGAAGGACAAGGCGCUGAUCAAGAAGGUGCUGCUGGGCAUGAAGACCAAGCGGCCGGAGCAUGUGCAAACCGCACUGAUACGACGCCACCUGCUCGAGCUGACCCAGAGCUUUAUGAUACCGCUGGAGCGGUAUAUGGCCUCGCUGAUGCCGCUGCAGAAGGACAUCAGUCCGUUCAAGUCGGCGCCCAAUGCCAGCAGCUUCAAGCUGGACGAUUUCCUGGCCACGCUGGAAACAGCUGGGCCGCAGCUAACGUCGCCGCUGAAGGGCGACUGGAAGGGCCUGUACAGACGCUUCUUUCGAUCGCCCAAUUUUCGCGGCUGGUACGGUGCGAGGCAUCGGGAGCUGCAACUAACGCUGCAGGAUCUCCAGCUGCAGGCGCUGUCGGUGGCGAAUCUCGAGCACUGGGCGCACGACAAGCAGGAGGUGGAGAUCAUCGAUAUGAUACUCAAGCUCAAGCAGAAACUGAAUCUCUAUGGCGACAAGGCCGCGCAGCUGGAGGGCAUCAAUGGUACGCAGCAGCAGAUACGCGCGCAGAUCGAGUGCAUGAAGGGCUUGCUGCCGCCGGAUCUCAAGAAUGUGGUGAAUCUUUGAUCUUAGUUGGCGUCCCAUCUGUCUGUUAUCCUGUGUGAUUGUGUGCGGUGCUCUUUUAUCAGUGUAAAUAGGUUUUAAUCGGAGAUUAGUCGCCGUAUUCGUGUCUAGUUUAAUUCUAAAAUAAUCCCAAGCCAGCGAAUUCCAACUUUUUACACCCCUUCGAAGUAAUGCUCAUGUCUCCGACUGUCUCAAAUGGUUAAGCCAAUGGCUCCAAACCAAUCAAAUAAUACGAAUUUGCGUGAAAUUACCUCGUUAAAGUUCUGAAAUGUGAUUUAAAGCCAGUUUGUUCUACCUUCAUUUUGUUUCAUUUUCAAAAACGUUUGUAUGUAUAUCGCUGAAAUUGUUUAUAUCUACGAUUGUCAAAUAUAAGUUAACUGGAUUCAUAA